GCAUCAACAACUGCGGUUUCUUCGGAAGCUCUGCCACAAUGAACAUGUGUUCCAAGUGUCACAAGGCUAUCCUGUUUCAACAGGAACAGGGGGCUAGGUUUGCAUCUGCAGUGUCUGGUUGUACAUCUUCAUCCAGCAACAUCUUAAAGGAAACCUUUGCUGCUACCGCGCUGGUUGAUGCUGAAACCAAAUCCGUUGAGCCGGUGGCCGUCUCUUUACAGCCAUCUUCUGUCCAAUUCGUCGUCGCAGAGGUAGUAGCUCCAGAAGCCUCUGCAGCAAAACCAAAGGAAGGACCAAGCCGAUGUGCUACUUGCAAUAAACGGGUUGGUUUGACUGGAUUCAAAUGUCGCUGUGGUGACCUCUUCUGUGGGACGCACCGUUAUGCAGACAUACACAACUGCUCCUUCAAUUACCAUGCCGCUGCGCAAGAAGCUAUAGCUAAAGCAAACCCGGUUGUGAAGGCAGAAAAGCUUGACAAAAUCUGAAGAACUCAAAACUCAAACACCAAAGUGAUAGACUACGACCUCCUUAGGAGCAUUUAGAAUUGGAAAUGAAGGUUUAGAAUUUUACAUAUUUAUUAUUAUUGCCUACUAAGGUGUUUACUCCUAUAAGAGGGAGACAUUUGAUUCUAAUAAAAUCAUCCAUUAAGAGAUCAAAGAAACGGAGUUGUCUCCUCUAAAUCUAAUAAACGAGGAGUUUGUCAGCUUCUUGAAUAAAUAGCAUAUUGAUAGAUACUGCCCAGAGGCGUCUAUCACAAAGUUCCCUUUCUCCUAUCUGCGCCUGAUUCAAGGUGUCCCUCAUGUUAACUAAGGUUUAUAAAGUAUACUUCCAAAUAUAAACCAUUACUAGAUCCAAGCGUGGGUUUUUUGGAUUAUAUUAUAAUACAAAGUCUUAUUAUAUCAAAAAAAUAUAAUUUUGAACAGUUAUAUAAUUUAUGAAUUAGUUUAUUUGAGACUUUAUAUGUACAUUUUUACGUAAAUUUCUUUUAGGCAUGAGAAUUAUAUCCGGAUAAAAAAAACAAACUGAAUCGACCCGAAAAUAUAGGUUUAGUUCAGGUCCAGAGAAGAUAACCUAUUGGGUUUUUGGACCUGUAAGUCUUUGUUUGAGUCAAUGUACUAUUCUAGACCCGAUCAUAAAUAUGUUGUGUUUAUUAGAUAUAUUUGGAUAUUUCGAAUAUGUUUCCGGUAUUAUGAAUAUUUUUUUUAAGUUUUGGUUUACGAUUAUAGUUUUUGAUUUCACGUAAAUUUUCAAAUUUAAAAAAAAAAUUGGGUAUUUUUUAAGUUCAUCGUGUCAGAUUUUGAAUAAGAUUUUGAAUUUUUAGGUAUUUGAAUUUUUUUGGUAUUCGUUAGGAAUUUCAAAUAUUUUUUCAGAUUUUUUAGAUAUUUUGAUAUUUUUUUUAGGAUCCUAAAUACCCGAACAUAUGUGGACCCAUUAUGUCCAUAUGAAGUCUAACAACCUUUUGAUAUAGAUUUUUAACGUUAUUGUACAAAAACAUGGUUGAUAAAAUAUUUUUCUGAGUAAAAGUAUCAUAAGGAAUAAUAUUAGGAUCUGUUAAAAAUAUUUAAAAUAUUGUAUGGUUAGAAUGAUUAAUGGUAUUACUAAAAAAAAAGUUAUACAUGACUCCAACAACUUUUUUAUAUUAGAUUUUUAAGAUUAUUUCUCUUUUAAUAGUAUUGAUUCGUUUUUAAAUGAAAAGUAUAUAAAAGUAUAAUAUCUAGACCAAUAAUUUUCAAAAUCGUAAAUAAUCAAUACUGAUAUCGUGAAGUCGGGUUAAUUUUAACAGAACCAAUGAAUUUAUUUUGUGAAGGUAACAUGAAAUAUUCAGAAAAUUCAUUUUUAAAUAUGAAAAUAUCUAUCAAAACUAUAGACGGUUGAAAGUUUAGCAUAUGAUAUGAGAUUUUAGUAGAAACGUUUAUAUAUGAUAUGAUUACUUUAUUAUAAAGUAAAGAUGAAGUUAGAAUGUACACAUAUAUGUCAUGUAACCUCUCUUGAUUUAAAUCAUAUAUUAUAUGAUAAAAAUGAUAAUAUAAAACAUUAGUUUCAAUGCUUUUACGAUUAAAAAUCAAAAUGGUAAAUAUAGUAAUAAUAGUGAUUAAAAUUUAGGAGUGAAAUUUGAAUAAAUAAAGGAAUUGAAUAAAUUAUUAUUAGAGAAAUAUAUGGUAACAUAUUGUUAGUCUAAAUUUAAGGUAAGACAAAAAAAAAUAAUAAGAUAAAUGAAAGGGUCCAAACAACUUUUAUAGGUAGAUUUUUUAAGACUCCUUCCCUUUUAAUAGUAUUGACUAGAUUUUGAUCCGCGCUUCGAAAGCGCGGAUUUUUUAAAACUAUAAACAUAGUUUUAUAUGAAUUAGUAUUUCGGAUUGUUGUACAUUAUUAUGUUACGAAAUCAUAUUAUAUUGAAGCAGAUAAUCUUAAAAAAAUAUAAAUUAGGUUAUUUAGUUUUUUGUAUAUACAUUUUUAUGUAACUCUUUCUAAGUCUGUGCAUUUUAUCUGAUCCAAAACAACUGAGAUCUACCCGAAAAUAUAGGUUCGGUUCGGGUCCAUGGGAAAGGUACCUAUUGGUUAUUUUAUAACACCCGUAGGUUUUGACUUUGUUCCAAUCAGACAUGAAACUCGAUCGGAUACCAAAAGUACUCAGAUUAUUUUUGUAUAUUAGGUAUGUUUGGGCAUUUCAUAUAUCUUUUGGUAUUACGAAUAUUCUUUUAAGUUUCAGGUUUGUGUUUCUGGUUAUAGUUUCAGGGUUUACGUAGAAUUUCAAAAUUUUAAGAACAUAUUUCGCGUAAUCAGAUUAAAUUUUAGGCAUUUUUGGUUUCGCAGAUCAGAUUUUGAGUUAAAUCGGGACUUUUCGAGUAUUUGAAUAUAUUUCGGGUAUUUACUGAUUUUCAUGUAUUUUUUGGAUUUCAUAUAUUUGCAGGUUUACUCGUACUUGGGGUCCUAGAUAUCCAAACCUACCAGGAUCCACUAUAUACCUGAAAAUUAUAUGUAUUUUUAUCUGGAUCCACUACAAACCUACCUAGAUCCACUAUAUACUUGAAAAUUAUAUGUAUUUUACGACUAUUUAAAUUAUGGAUCCAAACCAACUCAUACCCGAAAGAAACCGAUUCAAAUCUAAACCAAAAAAAAAAUUGACAUCACCAAAAAAUUAUUAUAUUUUAGAUUCUCAAUAAAUAUAGCUUAAAACAUUUAUAACAUUUAUAAUAUUUUUGAUGCUUAAUAUAUGAGAGUAAUGAUAAUAGCUCCUUAUUAAAUGGGAAGAAAUGCUAUAAUAGCUAUCGGGAUUUAUCACAUUUACCGUACAUGAUAUAUAUAGAAGUUAGAUGAAAAUAUGGAACGUAUAAGUUAUGAUCUUUUACGAAUCGGGAUAUGUUGUUACGCAAAAGACUUAAAAAUAUCUUCUAGGAUAUUAAACACUAAUUCUUAACUUGACUGUAUACAUAUUCCACAAACAUUAGAAUACUAUGAUAAUUAAUAUAUAUAUAUAUAUAUCAGUAUGUAUAGUAAACCGGUUUGGGUAUUAUCAACAUAUACUAUGUUAUAAAUAUGUUUAUUCUAAAAUUAAUAAUAUGUUUGGUUUAAACAUAUUCGUUCGUGAAUGGGGAUGUUCUUAUAUAUGGCUUGAAUCUUAAUUUCAAAAUUAAAUUGGAAGUCAGUUCGAUCCAAAACGGAAUUGACGUUUUAUCAUAUGUUACAACACAUCACUUGUACAAUUAGGAAUUAUAUAUUACAAAUUUAUAAGUGCUACAAAAAUGUCAUUUUAUCAUAGUAUAUUAUCGAUAAUAUAAACCUCAAACUAUAUGUAAAUAGUGUUCAGGAAAGCUUUAAAUUCAUUAAAGUAUUUCAUGGUGUUUUCAAUUUCGUAUAUAGGUGUUGUGAUAAUAUACGUAUGUAAUAUAUAUGGUUUGAGUAAACCACUAAAUUUGAUAUGUAUCUCAUGUUACCUUAUAUUGUUAGAGAAAUAUUAGGUAAGACCAAAAAAUAAUUAACUAAUAAAUAGGUCCAACAACUUUAUAUAAGUAAAUUUUUUCAGAAUAAUUUUCUUUUAAUAGUAUAGAUACAUAGUUUAAAACAAAGUACAAGAACAACGUUAUAAAUAUCAAAUUCUGAAUAAUAUAUUUGCUCAUUUUGACACAACCAAAUACACAUAAUAAUAAAAAACAUUUGUACGAGUCAAACGCUAGAUAUAUUGUUCGAUCACCACAUAAACACAAUGGUGAUCGUUUUAUUUUACAGAAAACAAACCCCAAAAUGUUCACCAGGACAUAAAACUACGUUUUUACCAUACAAUGAAAAAACGAUUUUAGGAAUCAUAGGAAACCAGAACAAUUUAAAACCGAAUGACUUCCUAAAAUGUCUAUAUACAUAUAUUUUAUCAAAAAGUCACUUAAUGCAGGAACAAAACAUCUCUUCUCUGUACAAAAUUUUCCUCCUACGUAUCCCCUUCCGUGAUGAGAGCUACAACUACUGCUUAUACGUUCACCUACCUGAAAAGAAAAGUCCAGGUAAGUGAAAAAAAAAACUCAAAUAAUCCAGGAAGGCAUAUUAUUAACUGAAAACACACAAGCUAUGUUAAAUUAUUAGAUGACCAAAAUAUGAAAACGGGAAGUGGUUGUUGGUCUCAGAUGAAACAGAAAGCGAGCUAUAGACAAGAAACACUUUAGUACACUAACAGAUGACGAUGAUAGAGAAGUAAGUUCAUACUUGUAUUUUCUGGUCCUGUUCAAUUGAUUCCCUUCAGGUUGAGGAGCUUUUUCCACCACAUAAGAAGCAAUCAAGGUAUCCAGUUUUACCAACCAGAGAGCAAUCGCAGAAGUUGUUCGAGGCAUAGAAGGGAAGCUAGUUAUAAUUUCUCCCUCCUCCUCCUCACCAAAGUGCCAUAACCAAUCUUCAUUGAUUGCUCCAACAAAGUCCCCAAUCACCUUCAGACCAUGAUUUAGCAACAAGAGGUAAGUUAGAGAACAAUCAAUUUCGGACUAAAAUAAGGAAAAAGGGAGCUUUGCAUAAUAAAAAUGAAAACCUGCGUAAUUUCAGACAACGUUGAGCUUCGUCGAAGCCUUUUUGCCCAUAACCUAUGAGCUGACUUUUUCCAUGCACCAAUCAAGGCAUCUUCGGGCAUUGCAGACUGAAAAAUGUUAACCAAGAAAGGGAGCAGUUUCUUAACACAAACCAAGAAAGACGGAAAAGAUUAAAAAUAGUAAAGCAAAAACGACUAUCUCGACAGACCUCAAUGGCAUACACUGCAGCCUUUAGUGAUUGCAACUGGGAAGAACGAACUUUGUGAUCUGGAAAUGAAUCACUACUCUCUUCAUUCUUCCUGCUGCAUGUGGCUUCAUGAAUCGCAUAUCUUUCUUCAAGAUCUAUAUCAAGCUCAAAGGUAGCAUGGCAAAUCUUGCAGUGCUUCUCAUCUCUCCAAUACAAAUCAUGACAACUCUUACACCUAGUAAGCGAAUCAAGGUAGGAUCUUCGGCUGUGUUUAACAACAUUGAGAUUAAGAUAAUAUUUAUCCCAUAUCCAUUCAUCAAACUCCUGAACAAGGCUCCAUAAUAGGCUGUUGCCCCGCUUCUCAAAUACUAUAGCUGCUUGUUGAUCAUUGGCAAUCUCAUUGAGACAUAGGUUGUUGUUGUCUAUAUCAGAAACCGGUGAAGAAGAACUGUCCUCUCUGACUACAUGGUCAAUUCUUCUUAACAUGGCUUGACAGAGAAAACUUUCUCGUUUCUCCAAUGACUCAAUAAGCCGAGCUUCCCGUCUACCCCUAUCGUCCAACACUGACAACAGUGCCCGCAAAGCCUGCACCAAGCCAAAAAAUAGGGAAAUGUUAGGCAAGGAAUCAAUCCAACUUACACAAUACAAGUUUUCAUUUAAUUUGUGCACAAUGACAUCACCUCCUUGUGGCUGAUAACUUCCCAGUGACCAUCUUCAGAAGAUUCAAAGUAGACACACCUAUGACCAGGGUCAUUCGCGUUGCAUGGGCCUAAGAAAAGCCAGUACCUGUUGAACCUACGGUCAGAACCAAGGUAUACAGAUUGCAUAGGGUGAACAUUGUCUCCAGCGAGCUUUGCAAAAUCAGCCCCCACAAUUGAUGAUGAAUCAACUGGAUGAGAAUCAGACGGUUUAGAUAGCUUUUCGAUUCGCUCUCCUCCAUGGACCCAUGAUACGCGUGGAUGAUUAGAGGAUGAUGCUCUCUUGAUUUUUCCACCAGAACCAUGACUAUAGAUACUAGGGGCACAGUCAACCAUAGCUCUGGGUAAAUCCUCCAUUCUAAUAGUGGAACCAGAACUAAGAAGAUCAAUCAAAGCGAUGAAAACAUCUAACUUCUCUUCAAUGCUUAAGUCUGAAUAUUCCCCCUCCAUUAGCCCCAACAACCAUGCUUCUCCAGGAUGGCUUUCAUCAAUCUCACUGCAUACUUCCAACACCUGCUUCCGCCUUUUCCUACACUUGGCUUUUCGAAAUACAAAACUUUCUGAAACACGCCCCAACUCAUCACCAGAUUCAUCAUCAUCAACACUUCCAGACUCGCCCGAAUCAGACUCAUGGUCCUCAGAGAAACAAUUAACACGUGCACGAUAUGUAGAUUCAGAUAUUUUUUCGAAAAGUGUAAUAUCACUUGCCAGCGUUGAACAUAUUGAACGCUCUCGUUCUUCUUCUGAUGCAGUUGCAAGAUUCAGCGCAGCAACCUAUAACAUUAACCAGCAGCCUAUUCUAUUAGAUAUAAUAAUCUUAGGAUUUACUAACAAGAAGCUGAUAAUAAUUUCAGAAAAAACUACCUCUACUGCUGCAUUUGCUAACUCGGAUAUUUUCAAGCCAUUUUUGCCUCCUUGCUCGUUAAGCAUUCUAAAUAAUUCACCCUUUAAUGUUCCAAGACGGAGGCCAUACUUUUUCAUGAGUCUCCUUUCCUACAGGAGGUAACAUCAACCAAUAAUGCGUCAGAAAAUUAAAGAAAAAACCUAUAAACGACAUAGAACAUGCACAGGAGGAUAUAAAAGAAAAUUGAGCAAGAACCUUCAGUAUUCCACACGCAACUAACCCAUCUUCAAGAAUAAACAAAGCAUGCUAGUAUAUGGAACUUUGAUACGAAUGAAAAGGACAAGAGAUGUAGCAUUUGUAGGCAUUUCAUGUGAUGAACUAUAUUUUCGGUGCCAAGCAAAUAGAGUAGACAGAUGGUUGUUUCAACGAAUCAAAAGGGUUGCACGAAAUCAGCACCUUACUUAGUUCCUCUGAUUGACCAGCAGCCCGCUUUACAGAACCAAAACCAGCUGCAACCAAUAUCUGACGCAAUAUCUCCGCCCAUGUAAGAGAAUUUAAUGAAUCCUUCCACAUAUCAAGAAUAAGAAUUUGGCUCUCCACCUAAAAAAAAAAUAUCAUGGAGAAUGUCAAAACCUGUCUCUCAAACGGAAGUAUGCCAAGGAAAAAAAUAGAUAGCUCCACAUACCGACUGCAGCAGGGCUAGAAACUUGCAUGAUAUACUCAAGGUUGAAAAAGAUCCCCUUUGCAGCUCGGUUUCAACAUCAAGCAGAAGCAACUUCAGCAGGGAAAGAUGAAUUUUACCAAGGAGCAAGGAGUCCUGAAAGAGGAAAUGCAAUAUGUUAUUUUAAGAAACAGUUUCCUUCAGCAACAUAAGAGAUUUGACUAUUUGUUAUUAUCAAAUAAGAGAGAGCACCUUAUCAUGAAAUGCCCGUGUGAACUCGUCGAUAGUGAAGGGACAUAUAUCAAGAGUUACUGAAUAAGUAUACAGGAAAUGGACAACCUGUCAACACAUAUGUAGUACUAGGUCAGCUCCAAGAAAUGUAAUUUUAAGAAGAAAUCAAUCACGAAGUGCACACCUUAAAAAGUUUCUUGACAGACUCUGGAGAAGAAUUCCAUGGAUGCAAAGCAAAAGGCAGCCUCAUGCCAACAGAACUUGGGGGAAACUUGGGCAAUAAAUCUGGAAACAAACAACAAAAUAGAUGUAAAAAAAGGUACUUGAGAACGAAAACUCACUCUCCCUAGGAUUGAACCAAGACACAUACCUUUGCAUAGAAAACAAGAUCCACUAGUAGCAGUAUGGCAUGAACAAGUUAACGGAGGAUUCACUAGCCCUUCCUGUCUCUCCAAUUCCUCGUCAUCAACUAGUAUCGACAUUGUUUGACAGGUUUCUUUAAAUACCUCCCCGAGCUCACAUUUCUCACUAAAUCCCACCGUCUCAUCUUUGUUUAAUUCUUCGGUGGUCUGCAGCAAGCAAGCAAGAGUCAAUCAAAUCAUAUUUGUUGGCUUAUUGAAUCUAAGCUACCUCUGUAUUUAUAGAAUUCCUCUUCUUUUCCGUCGGCUUCUUCUUCUUCUUCUGCUUCUGCUUCUGAAGAAAGCAAAACAAUUGCAAUAAACAAUAAGUUCAAAAAGGCAAUAAAAGAGGUAAAAACAAGUAGUACCAGUAUAGAUGCUAAUUGUGUUUUGGUCUUCUUGGGAUUGCUUUGAGCUAAGGUUGCUCUUUCGUGGCUAUUUGGAUUCAUAACACGCCACGCUGUCAUCAAACCCUUGCCAAUACCAUAUUGUUUCUUCUUUACAACAACGCAAUCAUCUUGACUAGUGUGCUUCUCGGAAACCUAAAUAAAAGAAAAAUAAAUAAAGAUCAAAGAGUAACUAACCUUUCUCUUUUGCAAUAAUGAAAGAUGAUUCCACUAACCUUUCUCUUUCUCCCCACUCUCUGUUGAUCAAGAGAUGAUGAUGAAGGAGGAAGAUGGUCAAAUUGAAAACCAAGUGAGGGGCCGUCUUUUCUAAAAACCUUAGCCAAAAUGUACUGUGAGGUCAACAGCUUUUGACAAUUGAUCUUCCGAAGAGCAGAGCGAGGAAUCUUCGCCCUCACCGCCGCCGCCACGGAGGAUUUCUUUCUACUUGUUCUUCUCCUCUCAUCCAUUUUCUCUGCAUUCAUCACAUGUAAGGUAGACACGAACUGCCCCUGUUCAAACACGGGGGAGAUACGACUGCGCCGGUAAGAGGACCGCCGCGAUUUCGGAUCGACUCGCUCUGAUCUUCACCUUCUGUAUCAGAAAAAUCUGAUGCUACUUUUGUUUAGAUAUAUCUUUAGAAAUGAGAUUUUGUGGAGGGUUUUAGGGUUUUGGAGGAGAUAGAAAUGAAUACAAAAUGACUCUUUCACCCUUCUUUAAACCUUUUACAAAAAAAAUAAUAAUAAUAAGUAUAACAAAUUUGACGUUCGUGCCCGGGUAAAGUAAAGAGUGAGAGAUUGGAACAGCCACUGCACUAACUAAAUUCUGGCUAACCAGACUAACUCUUUUUAGUAAUUAACCUUAAACCUAUAAAAAAAAUUUCAAAAACUCCCCACAAUUAAUUCACGUUUAAUCUCCGAUUAACUGGUUCAACGCUUGGUAUCAAAAUAAAAAGCUUCCAGAACUUGAAGUUAAGCUCGCGAUUUCCUCUUCGUAUCCAAUAAAAUUUAAAAAAAAUUGAGAACUCUGAUGUUCGUCAAUCAAAACCAGGCGCAUGACACUCGACGCAUUCGUCAACGUCAAAUCAUCCCCUUAAUAAAUAAAUAAAAAAUCCAAAUAUCUCCCGAAAUAUAUUUACACCAAAAAAGUAUCAAAAUAAAAUAAAAAGAUAAAUGAUAAAUAUGUUUGUUUUAAGGGCAAUUGCAAUAAUAGCACUUUUUGAAGUUUCUGUCUCAAAAAUAGCACUAGAAGGAGAAACUCACAAAAAUAACAUUCAUUAAAGGGUAAAAUAUCUCUAAUACCCUUGAUUUAAAAUUAAAUAAAUACAUAAAAAUAAAUAAAAAUAAAUAAAAUAAAAAUAAAAAAAGAAAAAAAAAUAAAUUAUUUUUAUAGUUUCAGAUUAUAUGUUUUCAGAUUCGAAAUUUUUAUAAAUUUUUUUUUGAAAUUUUUUUUGAAUUUUUUUUUAUUUUUUUUUCAAAUUUUCUUUUUAUAAUUAAAAAAUACUUUUUGAAAUUGUUUUUAAAAUUUUAUUUUUUAUUUUAGUAUUUAUUUUUUAUAAAAUUUUAAACUCUAAUUCCAAAACCCCAUCCCUUAACUCUAAACCCUAAGGUUUGGAUUAAUUAACCCAAGGGGUAUAAGUGUAUAUUUACCUCUUUAAUGAAACCUAUUUUUGUGACUUUGAACCUUGAGUGCUACUUUGGGAACAAAAACUUAGUUUGGUGCUAUUCUAGUCUUUUUCUCAUGUUUUAACUGAUUUAUCUUUUUAAAUAAUUAUAUAUUAAUAAAAUAUUAAAAUUGAAUUUAAAUAUCUAACCAUAUUUUAAUAACUAAAAAAAAUUGAGAAUUUGAAAUGAACAAAAAGAGAAAAAAAAAAUCAAAGAAUCAGACAAUUAGAUACAUACACUUAUAUAGCCGACUCUUACAUAAACGGUGUGAAUAAAAUGUAAAACAUCUCUAAAAAAAUAUCGAAGAAAGAAAGCCCAAAUAGCCGAAACUUUUUUCUUUCUUCCUUUUUAUUUUUAUUUGAUAUCGUUAUAUCGGGUUAGGGUCUCGAUUUUAUUUUCCAAUUUUGAUUUGCCCUUUUGUGUUUUUUUUUUCUGUCGACUUAUUGAUGCAGAGAAAUAUUUAGAUAUAUUCCAAAUAUUUUUAUUAUCUAGUUUAUACUUAUUUUAAUAUUUAUCUUAAUUAGUUAGAAUUAUCUUAAAAAUUUUUAAUAAUUUUAUAGUUAUUUAGUUUUCAUAUAAAUAGGCAUCUUAGACUAAAUAAAAAUCUUUGUAAUUAUAGUAGCUUCUGCUACCUCAGGUAGUAUCAGAGUUGGUAUUUUGGUUUCUUAAUGUUGAAGGGAAACAUUUAUUUUUCGCAAAAGAAAAUUUGUUUUCUGAAAGUGAAAACACCGUUUAUAUCAAUGUUGUUGGCGAUCCAAUAUUCGAUGUCUAUGAUGAUGUUGUUCUGAAAGAGAAAGACGCUCAUGUUAAAAAUUAUAUUUGUGACGAUGAUGAAAACAAUUUCAUCAAAAUUGCAAGGAUCAGCGAUGGGCAUGUGGUGGCUGUCUCGGAAGAUGGAACUACUACCAAGAAUUUCCAUAUCAUAUCGACGAAAUAAGACGUCAUGUAUCAGUGUUUUUAAAUCUGAACCGAACUGGCGAUCAGACCAGGUUAAACCAUGAACCAAAAAUAAUCUAAAAACCCUUAUCGAACCGUCAAAAAUCCAGAAACCGACGGCUCAAUUAACCAGCCAAACCCCGGUUCGUAUAUAAGCCAAAAUUUGUUAUUAAUUUUUCUUUUUUUAAAGUAAAAAUAAGAUUUAUCAAAGAUUAAUAAAGUAUAGUCUCUCGUCUUUUUGUUUUGUCUUCUUUAGAACUCAUAAAUUACAAGAUUCACAAAGUUUAAUAUUCACGUCAAGAUAUUGUUUUGUCUACUUCUCAUUUUUUAAAAAAAAAUUAUUUCAUGAUCACUUAUUUUGAAGACUUUAAAUCAUUGAAACAUUUUCGUUUUUGAAAUUUGUAUUUCAAAAUAUAACUUUUACCUAAUGUGUAUAUAAUUUUUUUUAAAGGUGAUGAAGAUGUAGAGUGAUAAGAUCUACGAAUAAAGUUUAAAUGUGCUUUCCAUAUUGUUUUAUGAUUUUAAUUUUUUUUUUUGUUUUUCUACACAUUAUGACUAUUUAAACAUUUUAUUUGAUAUGAUAUAUUUUUUUAAAAAAAUAUGCAUAUUAUUUAUAAAAUAUCAUUAAAUUUAGUUUAAUCUAAAUAAAUUCGAUCGAACCCGGUUCAGAUCCGGUCGAAUUACAAUGAGCCAUGACCCAAAACAAUUCCGGUUCGCUUGCCGGUCCAGUUUUAAAAACACUGUCACGUAUAUAUUCAACAGCACUAGAAGCCAAUCAGAUGUGUUUCCUUGGGGUUUUGGAGUAAAAAAGGAGGUUUCAUGCAAAUUAUGGAAAUUUUGGCUAAAGGCAAUACAUGUCGUAUAAUUUGUUUGGAGAUGAAUAAAUAAGAAGGUGAAGAGAUACAAAUGGAAGAGAUGCAAAAUAAUAACAUUUCAUGUGAAGAUUUCAAAUCUGGUUUUGGGGUUGAAGAUCACAGUUAAGAUUCAAGGACAAAUCUUCUCUAACCCGGAAAGAAUGAUACAGAGAGAUAUUUGGAUAUAUUCUACAUAUUUUUAUUAUCUAGUUUACAAUUAUUUUAGUAUUUAUAUUAAUUAGUUAGAAUUAUCUUAAGAAUUUUUAAUAGUUUUUUAUUGUUAUUUAAUUUUCAUAUCAAUAGAGGUCUUAGACCAUACGCAACGCGGGUUGUUAGGUAUUUCUUAGCGCUAAUCCUUAGGGAAAUUUGGAAUAAAAACGAUUAUUAAAUUAGGUUAAGCUAAGAAAGAAUCCUUACCUAAGGAUUUUUCGGCUUUGGUCCUAGAUGAGCUGGCAACACCUGAUUCGUGCGGAGAAGCGUUGUGUUUCGUAUAGCGAAAGUCAAACUUUCAUUUACGCGACUCGAUCUGAAUAAAAAACCUCUACAUCUCUCCAGGCGAAGGCAAAGGCGAUUCGUCGAUCCGCGUCGUUGAAGGUAAAGCCGACCGUUUAAACUCAUUAUUUUUUCUUAUGGAGUUGAUGCAUGUUGAUUUCAUCAGUUUUUAGGGAUCCGAUUGGGGGAUUUGAAUAGCUUUCGGCCUUGAAAUCGAAUUGGGGAUUUAAUUCGAAUUAGGGUUUCCAUCUGGGUUUGCUUUUCUCUUCUUUUCGAUAAGCUUCUUUGUUGUUUCGUCGCGAUUACGGGUUCGGGUUUGAGUGUAAAUCGAUUUAGGGUUUUAUAAAUCGAUUUAGGGUUUUCUAAUUUGGGGAUUUUGAUUCGAUUAUAUUUUUUUGUUCUUGUAGGUUCUAAAUGGAGGAAGAAAUGCGAGAUAUGAAAGCACACAAAGCAUACUACAACAUGCUUCAUUUCGUUUCAGAAGCCCAACAUGGAAUUCCCAAGUUGUGCCCCCGUGGAUCUAUCACGAAGGAGUUCGUCGACGAAGAGGAUUCAUAUGACUACCUCCCCGGGAAAAGAUACUUCAUCUGCAAAGACUACCAGGUUCAAAAUGUUCUGUCUCUUUAUACUCCAUAUUGAUUUUCUGUUUGAUUAAUCAUUUAAUGUUUUCGCAGAAUGACGGGAUGCAUUUCAGGCAACCAUGGGUUAUGGGUGUGCAACAAGAGUUUGAGAGGCUCAAACAUCGCAUGAUGGAGCAGGAGAAGCUUCAGCUAGAGUGCGAGGCGCUUAAGGUUAGUUUAUAAGUUAAUGUUCAUUGGUGUUUGUACAAUCUUUCUAACACAUUGUUUGUUUUCUGUGAUGUCUCUUCAGUACCAGGUUAAGAUGCUUCUUCAGCGUGUGUCUGAACUUGAGAAAGUCCGCUGAGGUUAGUGUUUUGAACUGUGUCUCCUUGUAGUUUAAUUUUGAGAACAAAGUAGGAUAGUGCAUGUGUCUCCUUGUAGUUUGAGUUCAAAGUAGGACCGUCUGUGUGUAACUUUGUUGAAACUAGGAUCGUGCGUGUUUCUCCUUGCAGUUUGAAAACAAACUAGGAUUGUACUGGUUAACGUUCUAGUUUGAAACUAAACUUAACUUCGUAGUUUAAAUGCACACCAAACCACCACUAAAUUAUUCCUUAACUGCUUCUUUUAGACUAAAACAUUAAUUUUAUUGUCGUGAGCUGUUUUGAUAUGACAGUUUCCUACUAGGCUUCAAUGCUGUUAAUGUAGAAUCCUUUAUUUAAUCCUCUGUGUUUCUACUAGAGAAACACAGACUUCUUCCUAAAUGGCAAAUAACAAUGGUUAUGUUAACUUAUUAGCGAGCCAAGGGUCAAUUGACUUUGGCUCAUCACAACCUUUUUUCUUUACCGGUCAAAGUAGUGAUGAGUCUAGUGUCAAAGAGAGGAGAAAGUGGACACCGAAGGAGGAUUUAAUCCUCAUAGGUGCGUGGCUCAACACCAGCAAAGACCCAAUAGUGAGCAACGAACAAAAAGCUGGUGCCUUCUGGAAGAGAAUUGUAGAGUACUACAAUUCUAGUCCUCUCCUGGUUGGGACUAUCCCACGAGAACUUGGGCAAUGCAAGCAAAGAUGGGCUCGGAUCGACGAUUUGGUAUGUAAGUUUGCUGGCUGCUACGACAUGGCACUGAGGGAGCAGACAAGCGGGCAAAAUGACAACGAUGUGAUGAAGUCUGCCUUGGAUAUCUUCCACAGUGACCAGAACCAGAAGUUCAACUUGGAACACGCGUGGAGGGAGCUUAGGCAUGAUGUGAAAUGGUGCUCCACCAACCUUGAGAAAGAAAAGCGCAAACCAGUGGAUCCUGUUGCGAACGAAGGGUCAGUGCCAGAGCCAGAAGAGAGACCAAUUGGAGUGAAGGCUGCGAAGGCUGCUAAAAAGAGAAAGAAAACUGGAAAAGAAGAAGAAUUGGCAAAGCUUGAGAAUUUGUUGGAAAUAAAAAAACAAAUCUCAAAGGAAAGUUUGCUAGAGAGUUUGCUUGCAAAGCCCGAGCCUCUCUCUGAGAUGGAAUCAGCUCUCAAAAUAAAACUUAUGUCUGCUUUGUUGUAGGGUUUGUUAGCUCUAACCUUAGUUUGCCUAUGUCUACUUUACAAUGUGUGCAUUAGACUAGUUUACGAUGUUUGCAUUAGACUAGCUUAGAUGUUUGCAUUAGACUACUUUACGAUGAUAACCUCUGCUUACACACGUGAUUUUGCUCUGUUUCAGGUGAAGUACAAGACCAUGUGCUUGUUGAAGACAAAAGCUGGUAUCUCUUCUCUCUUCAGUCACGGGUGGUUUGUCUCUUUCUCCUUGUAUUUCGAUGUGAACCAAGUCACGGGUGUAUUUGUAUCUUUCUCUUUGUAUUUUCAUGUGAACCAAGUCGUGUACCAUGUUGCCUUUAUAAGUCUGUUUAUGUGAACGAAGUCCUUUGUGCUUCUUCUUCCUUGUAUUGUCUCAAACCGGAUGUAAUGAUGUUUUAGUGUAUUCUAUUUCCUUUGCUCUUCUUCUCCUUGUACAACCUACUUACAAACGAAAUACUCAACCUUCAAAAACUUAAGCAAACUUAAGCAAACGAACCAAGUCGUUGUUGCCAAUCUCCACACGCCUUGAUCGCUGAGACGAGACGUUCAUCCUCUCAUCCCACGACAUAAAACCAUCCUCUCAUCACACGCCUUGUUUCUGUAAGCAUUAGUUUUUGAAAUAGUUUUGCGAAGUAGAAGCCUGUUUACGGUUUACGGUUUGGUCUCCAAUUCAAUUUAUGGGCAUUAUGGUUUUCGAAAUAAGCACAAAGAAGGAUAGUGUGGUUAUUUCCCCUGAGAAAUCACUAUACUAUUUAAUUAAACUCACUUCCACAAAAGUUUUAUUUAUUUAUUUGAUAUAUGUAAAAUUCUACUUUUUACAAGUGAGUGUAUUACGUGACUAAUUAACCCUUUCCUAAUACUAUUAUAUAACAAUUAUCAGCUGAUGACUUUAGUAAUAUAAAUUACGAUUAAUGCAAUUCAAAAAAAUAAUACCAAAAGAAAGUUUAUAAUAAAUAAGUUUAAUAUAAUGUUAAGAGUUCUAAAACGUGUGCCUUGAAAAAUCAGUUUUGAAAGAAGGAUAGGCAAAUAUGGCAGAUGAAGUCGACCGAAGACUCGAUGCGGCUGUCAAUGAGGCUUUUGAUGAAUAUUUUGAAGACACAUACAACAGCAUCAUGGAGAAUCGAACAAAUAAAAAGAAGAAACGUGCAUAUGUCGAACAAAACCGCGAAGCGGGCCACAACCGUCUAUGGAAUGACUAUUUUAGUGAAAAUCCGUCAUUUCCAGAAAAUUUAUUCAGACGUCGUUUUCGCAUGAACAAGCAAGUAUUCAUGCGUAUUAUCGACACCCUCUCAGCAAAUGUUCCAUUCUUUCAGCAAAGGAGAGAUGCAGUCGGACGGUUGGGUCUAUCUACACUACAAAAGUGUACGGCGGUUAUUCGUAUGCUUGCUUAUGGCUGUGCGGCUGACGCCGUCGACGAGUAUCUCCGACUCGGUGAAAGCACCGCACUUUCAUGUUUAACCCAUUUCACAGAUGCUGUAAUUCUAUUAUUUGGAGAAGAAUAUCUACGGAGACCCAAUCCUGAGGAUCUUCAACGUUUACUCAAUAUUGGAGAGAUCCGCGGCUUUCCGGGGAUGAUUGGAAGCAUCGACUGUAUGCAUUGGGAGUGGAAAAAUUGCCCAACCGCUUGGAAAGGACAAUACACACGUGGAUCAGGAAAGCCGACACUUGUUUUGGAGGCUGUGGCGUCACAAGAUCUUUGGAUAUGGCACGCUUAUUUCGGUUCUCCAGGUACCUUAAAUGAUAUUAACGUCCUUGAUCGAUCACCUGUAUUUGAUGACAUUUAUCAAGGUCGAGCUCCAAGGGUAACGUACAUAGUCAACGGACACCAGUAUGAUUUGGCGUACUACCUCACGGACGGUAUAUAUCCAAAAUGGUCAACAUUUAUCCAAUCUAUCACACUCCCUCAAGGUCCUAAAGCAGAGUUAUUUGCUAAAGUUCAAGAAGCUACCCGAAAAAAUGUGGAGCGUGCUUUUGGUGUAUUGCAAGCUCGAUUUGCGAUAGUGAAAAACCCGGCGCUGUCAUUGGACAAGGAAAAAAUAGGGAAGAUUAUGAGAGCAUAUAUCAUACUGCAUAAUAUGAUUGUCGAAAAUGAACGGGGUGGAUACACUCUGUACGAUACAUCUGAAUUUGAAGAAGGAGACUCGAGCAGAAGUUCACAUGUUGAGCAUAUUAACAACAUGCCUACCCAUUUCGGUAAUAUGCUUGGUCUACGGAAUCAUGUUCGAGAUAGGCGUACACACAAAGCAUUGAAAAAUGAUUUAAUCGAAAAUAUUUGGAACAAGUUUGGUGAUGAUGAAGAUGUAUAAUUAUCGUAUGUUUGCUUUUAAUCAUUGAAUAAAAAAAAUUUUAAAUUAAUUUUUUUUUAAAUUUAAUAAUUUUAAAUUCUUAAAGACUUCAUUUUGAGUAACACCAUUGGGCAUACAUUUUAGACUCAAAUCCUUAACUAUUCAAAAAACAAAAAAAAAAUACUAUUAUAAUCCUAAGGACUCCAAUGGUGGGUAACACCAUUGGAGUUGCUCUUAUAUGCUUAUGAGACGGGAAACAUAAUGGAUAGAUUCUCGAACUAGAAAUCCUUCUUGCGGAUUCGAAGUAAGGGAAUACACAGACCUAGAAGAUGAUCGUAAGGAUAGAAAGAUCACCUCGAAGAAUUGUGGUUUCUUCGGAAGCGCUUCCACAAUGAACAUGUGUUCCAAGUGUCAAAACCGAAGGAAGGACCAACCCGAUGUGCUACUUGCAAGAAACGGGUUGGUCUGACUGGAUUCAAAUGUCGCAGUGGUGACCUCUUCUGCGGGACACACCGCUAUGCAGACAUACAUAACUGCUCCUUCAAUUACCAUGUCGCUGUGCAAGAACCUAUAGCUAAAGCAAAUCCAGUUGUGAAGGCAGAGAAGCUUGACAAAAUCUGAA
RNAcentral lists this long non-coding RNA (17372 nucleotides) under Brassica rapa (field mustard). RNAcentral's name for it is "long non-coding RNA (BRAP_LNC005655)". Lineage: Eukaryota; Viridiplantae; Streptophyta; Magnoliopsida; Brassicales; Brassicaceae. The record is from RNAcentral.